Long non-coding RNA from Raphanus sativus (radish), 2504 nucleotides. RefSeq lists it as uncharacterized. Lineage: Eukaryota; Viridiplantae; Streptophyta; Magnoliopsida; Brassicales; Brassicaceae. The record is from RefSeq and is a predicted model, not a curated record. The transcript is spliced from 11 exons.
AGUAGUUAAGCCCAUUACUAAAUCUCUUUCAAUUUGAGAUUUGGAGAGGAAAGGUCACGAAGGGAGGAAAGCGGAGAUGACGAUGGUGAUCACUCCAAACGAACCCAACUCUGCAUCAUCACUGACGAUCGUGUUGGAUUAGAGUCUCUGAAGCUUUGUAUCUUAUUAUUUAGUCUGGCGAUCCAUCAGUUUGAAUAUCCCAUCCACCGAACGGAAGGAGUUUGCAUGUAGUCUGGUGUUUCUUUCAUUCCAAAUCCAAUACACCGUUGCCUGCCAAGCUAGUAGGAUGAGGAGUCGCUGCGGUAGAGGAACCGAGAUGGAGGACAUCUGAUCCAGCGAGACAACCCAAUCUCUGGAAGAGCAAGCAGCGAGCAUCAACUUGAAUACCCCAAUGGAUGAGUCUGUCUCUAGUCGGAAUUCUGUUCUGAAUCACUAGCCAUAAGUGAAAGCUGUGACGAGGGAUGGCCCUAGACGUCCAGACAACAGCGUACCAAGGAACAUCAGGUAUGUAGCUGGAGUUGCGCUUCAGUUCGAGCAGGAGGGAGGCGCCAGGAGCCAUUUAGACACAGGGAUGAAACAGUUGCCCUUUGAGAAAUUCCCAACCUGGAGUUGCUUCCCGACAAGUGAGAGUAGAGAUCCCCAAAAGGAGUCCAGUUAUCUGACCAGAACUGAGCUGUUUCACCGUUCUGUAGUCUGAGCUUGAUGAGAGGAAACACCUCUGCUUUUAGUUUUAGCAGUUUAUUCACUAGCCAGGAGUAUGAUUGCUUCGGCUGUGUCGUCCAGAAAUUGUGAAUUAACCCCUUCAAGAUAACCUCCUUGAACCAUUGAACCCAUACCGAGUCGGGUCUGAAAAAAAGGAGCCAGAUAAGUCUUAGCGUGCAAGCUUUGUUCCAGGAGCUGACCACAAAGAGAAUUGAUUCGCUCAAUACAAGCUUUCGGGAGAAUAAAUGCAGAGCACCAAAACGUUGUGAUUCCAGAGAUCACCAUCUUUAUGAGUAGCAGCCUUCCAGAGAACGACAGGGUCUUUACUGACCAAGAGGAGAACUUGGUCUUGAUUUGAUGGAUCAGAGGUUCACAAUUAACUAGCGAAAGUUUCCUCGAGUUAAGAGGGACGCCCAGAUAUCGGAAGGGAAUUGAACCAAGACUCAUUCCCGUGGAAACUUGAAUCAGGACUUGUAGCACCUGCUGGACCGAGUCUAUGGAGCCGUCUAUAAAGAUCAAAAGGUCAUCAGCGAAGGAGAGAUGACUUGAUGUGCAGACACAUGCUCUGAGUUGCCUCAUGAAUCGGACUGGGAACUGAAGACCCUCCAGGCAAGAGAACAGAAACUCCCAUGAUAAUGUAUCAAAUGCCUUUGCAAUAUCCACUUUGAUGGCAGGAAGUUACUUGCAAAGAAGUUCCUUAUUGAAGCUGUCACUUCCGUUCCAAUGAAUUCCCAAGAAGCUUUGAAGAAUGCUGAUGUUAGCCCAUCCGGUCCAGGCGUCUUAUUCGGAUUCAGUUUGAAGAAAACAUUUUUUAUCUCCUCUUCUGACGGGAUGGAUAACAUCAGCUGGUUCAAGUGAGCAGGGACAGAGUAUCCAGUAAGAUCAGCAAACCAUUGUGGACUCGAGUAUAGGGUUGGCGGGUGAUAGUUCAGAGGACCUAGCACUGAUUGAAAAUGGUUGACUGUGUGAUCGCUCAUCUCCUGAGGGUCUGUAAUCCAGGAAGCUCCAUUUCUGAUGCAGUUCGCGCUCAGCUUGGAAGGUGAUAGGAGUUGGAUCUUGCAAAGCCUGAACCUGCGCAAGUUGCAACAAACGGAAGGCGAAAAGCAAGGUCAAGAACACAAGGGGCAUGAUCGGAGAAAAGAGGGGGGAGAAAGGAGGCCAGGGCAUUUGGGAAAGUUGAAACAAAAGGACUGUUAACCAUCAAUCUGUCCAGCUUCUUUGAGAUAGGGCCAGAUGGUUGAGAAUUGGUCCAAGUAUGAGGAGUACCAAUGUGCCGGAGAUCAAAAAUGCCCAGCUGCGUGAAGCAGUCUCGGAGCUGGUACAUGAGGUAAAAUGGCAAUUGGUUAUGCUAUCAUCAAACUUAUUUUUUCAAUAAAAGACUGAGAAGUCAAAGAUUUACACCAACUAAGUAACAAAAAAACAGUAACGGAGGGGGAAGAAGAAAAAAGACAAACAAAACAAAAUCAAUGAGCCUUCUCUGCAAAAAACAUAGAACACAAGCAGAACCGUACAUAAAUGAAAACAAGUGACAUCUUUAGUUAUUCUCUGAUUCUCUCUGCAUACGUUAUUUGUUACUAAAAGCUCUAUUUGUUUUUGUAGUUUUGAAGAAAUCGCAUCUCUUGGCUAACAAACAAUUAUUGUGAUAGCUACGUACUCUACCAAGGGAAAAGAAUAUCAAUGUGAAAGAUUCAAAUUGGGUAAUUACAAAUUUGUUUGUUAUGGUUUGACUAUUUUUGACAUAUCUAUGUUUUCUUAUAGAUGAGUAUAUUAUGACUGUUUUAUAAACGUUUGUAGGUCUAUUA